This 245-nucleotide ribosomal RNA is filed under the name uncultured Eubacteriales bacterium. RNAcentral's name for it is "uncultured Clostridiales bacterium partial 16S ribosomal RNA". It matches the Rfam family "Bacterial small subunit ribosomal RNA", at positions 524 to 768 of the family's 1533-position model. The record is from RNAcentral. Lineage: Bacteria; Bacillati; Bacillota; Clostridia; Eubacteriales.
UACGUAGGGGGCGAGCGUUGUCCGGAAUGACUGGGCGUAAAGGGCGUGUAGGCGGAUAAAUAAGUCUGAUGUGAAAGUCCCGUUUUCAAGGUGGGAAUUGCAUUGGAAACUGUAUAUCUAGAGUGCGGAAGAGGUAAGUGGAAUUCCCAGUGUAGCGGUGAAAUGCGUAGAGAUUGGGAGGAACACCAGUGGCGAAGGCGACUUACUGGGCCGCAACUGACGCUGAGGCGCGAAAGCGUGGGGAG